This 264-nucleotide ribosomal RNA is filed under the name uncultured bacterium. RNAcentral describes it as "partial 16S ribosomal RNA". It matches the Rfam family "Bacterial small subunit ribosomal RNA", at positions 333 to 614 of the family's 1533-position model. The record is from RNAcentral.
GUGUCCCUACGGGGCGCAGCAGUGGGGGAUAUUGCACAAUGGGGGAAACCCUGAUGCAGCGAUGCCGCGUGAAUGAAGACGGCCUUCGGGUUGUAAAGUUCUGUCGCAGGGGACGAAAAUGACGGUACCCUGCAAGAAAGCUCCGGCUAACUACGUGUCAGCAGCCGCGGUAAUACGUAGGGAGCAAGCGUUGUCCGGAAUUACUGGGUGUAAAGGGAGCGUAGGCGGGAGGAUAAGUUGAAUGUGAAAUCUAUGGGCUCAAAC